RNAcentral lists this small RNA (751 nucleotides) under Pan troglodytes (chimpanzee). RNAcentral describes it as "retained intron". Lineage: Eukaryota; Metazoa; Chordata; Mammalia; Primates; Hominidae. The record is from RNAcentral.
ACUAACGUCAUUUCCGGCGCGCCGGCCACGGUGCUUCCGGGUUCUGGGGUAGGAGCGGCGUCUUCUCGCGCGGAUUGUGAAGCUGAAUUUGGUACGCUGGACCCUCGGACAGACAGCAAGAGAGAGACAAGCCCGAGGCCUGACUUCUAGCACUCCUGAGUUUGAGCCCUAUGAGCAGUGGAACCUAGGGACCACCAAGGAUCCAGAUAUAAUUCUUUCCUCAGUAACAGAAAAAAGAAUCUGGGAUCUAAGAAGAUACCUACUCAUUUUCUAAGUGACUGGCCAUGUCAUUGUCCCACUUAUACCGGGAUGGGGAAGGCCGCAUUGAUGAUGAUGAUGACGAGCGGGAGAACUUUGAGAUCACUGACUGGGAUCUCCAGAAUGAGUUCAACCCCAACCGACAGCGCCACUGGCAGACCAAGGAAGAAGCCACCUACGGGGUGUGGGCAGAGCGAGACUCGGAUGAUGAGAGGCCCAGCUUUGGAGGCAAAAGGGCCCGUGACUACUCUGCGCCAGUCAACUUCAUCAGCGCAGGGCUCAAGAAAGGGGCAGCGGAGGAGGCAGAGUUGGAAGAUUCUGAUGACGAAGAGAAACCUGUUAAGCAGGACGACUUUCCUAAGGAUUUUGGACCAAGGAAGCUAAAAACGGUAGAGUCUUUAUUGCAGGAUUGUGACCCUAGGAAUAUCCUUCAAAGGUCAUUGUGGCCCAAGCAUUUUCUAGCCAGGGAGAAACUCAUCUGGAGUGAAUUUCG